GCAGCCGCGGUAAUACGUAGGUGGCAAGCGUUAUCCGGAUUUACUGGGUGUAAAGGGUGUGUAGGCGGGAAAGCAAGUCAGAUGUGAAAUUUACGGGCUCAACUCGUGAACUGCGUCUGAAACUGUUUUUCUUGAGGGUCGGAGAGGUAACUGGAAUUCCUGGUGUAGCGGUGAAAUGCGUAGAUAUCAGGAGGAACACCGGUGGCGAAGGCGAGUUACUGGACGAUUACUGACGCUGAGACACGAAAGUGUGGGGAGCAAACAGGAUUAGAUACCCC
Molecule: ribosomal RNA, 278 nt
Filed under: uncultured Oscillospiraceae bacterium
Lineage: Bacteria; Bacillati; Bacillota; Clostridia; Eubacteriales; Oscillospiraceae
Description: partial 16S ribosomal RNA
Rfam family: Bacterial small subunit ribosomal RNA
Source: RNAcentral